Molecule: long non-coding RNA, 723 nt
Filed under: Olea europaea subsp. europaea
Lineage: Eukaryota; Viridiplantae; Streptophyta; Magnoliopsida; Lamiales; Oleaceae
Source: RNAcentral
GACAAUCACCUUGAUUUUGGUGUUUGCAUUCUUUAUCUACUCAAUAGUGAAUGAAGAAUAUGGAAAACUAAUUCUUUUCCACUUCAAAGGUCUUCCGAACCCACAAGCACCUACAAUAAUUUAGAGGAAUCCUUGUCUAAUAAAGAACUUUUGCUACAUAUAUAUCCACAAAUUAGACUAGAUAAAUAUAAAGUUUAUCAAGGAAAUUAAGCUUUAAGCCAAAGAUACUCCAUAGAAACUACCUCCACUCUCAUCAACCUAACAAAUACAUAAGAAUUUAAUCAACUUUUAAAAUCUCUGCACUGAAAUUCUUAAAGAAGUCGGUCACUUCACCAACAAAUGUCAUUUCCUUAGCAAUGGAUUUAGGACCACAAAUUUACGCUUUUUGUUUGGAAAGCUUUAUCCCCAAAUUCCCCGGUUGUUACAUAUUUAAACAAGUGAUUGAAUAAAAAUCAUUAAGAACUGGGUAAUAAAUUUUACAUAUUUAAACAUAAAAAUCAAUAUCCAAUAGAUAAAGACAAAUUUGGGGUAAAAAUUACAUCUAAAUAAACAAUCCCAUAAAUUCAACUUGAUAAAGCUUUCAACUACCUUGAAAUAGUGGGGAAGGAGAUUCCCAAAAUUGAGACUAUCUCAAACAACUAAGGUCUGGUACGACAACACCUGGAGUCUGGAGAUUUCAAUGUGAAAGAGAUGAGUAAAGAUGGAAGGUAGGGUGACAAAAAU